AUUUUAUUGAGAGUUUGAUCUUGGCUCAGGACGAACGCUGGCGGCGUGCCUAAUACAUGCAAGUCGAGCGCAGGAAACUAAGUAGAUCCCUUCGGGGUGAUACUUUGUGGAAUGAGCGGCGGACGGGUGAGUAACACGUGGGCAACCUACCUAUAAGACUGGGAUAACUCAUGGAAACAGGAGCUAAUACCGGAUAACCGGUGCGUUCGCAUGAACGCACUUUAAAAGGCGGCAUUUGCUGUCACUUAU
RNAcentral lists this ribosomal RNA (249 nucleotides) under Halolactibacillus alkaliphilus. RNAcentral describes it as "16S rRNA. Bacterial SSU". It matches the Rfam family "Bacterial small subunit ribosomal RNA", at positions 1 to 222 of the family's 1533-position model. Lineage: Bacteria; Bacillati; Bacillota; Bacilli; Caryophanales; Bacillaceae. The record is from RNAcentral.